UCUCGAACUCCUGACCUCAAGUGAUCCACCCACCUUGGCUUCCCAAAGUGCUGGGAUUACAAGCAUGAGCCACCACGCCCGGCCUCACCUCCACCUUCUGAUGACAUUUUACUCGUGGAGAAGCAUCAGUAAAUGUUCCUUUCAUUCCUUCUGCCCACAGAGGCCUAGUCUCCAGAGCAGCCCCAGAUCAUGGGUGGGUGGAUGUUCAAGGAGAUUUCAGCGUGGCCACAGGGAGGAAUGUUCCGAUGAUCCGAGAUGGACAGGUCUGGAAGCCUGGCUCUGAGUUGGGCAGAAGGUAGGCUAGUGCUGUCCAGACACCUCCACCCUCUGCCUGGACUUUACACAUGUACUGAAACUGGGGAGGAGGAAGAGGUAUCCCACCACAGGACUGUCCCUCAGGAAACUGGGGGCCCUGGUGGGAGGAAACCUGCUUUGGCUGUAGAAAUAAACACCUCUGUUUGGUGAAAGCAAUGUUUGGGGCAAGAAGAUGGACACCAUAUCUGAACACAGCCCUCUUCUGACGUGGUUAUUUUACCUGGCCCUCCAGGUGGGAGUGGCCAUGUUCCAGCUCAGCCAAGGCCAGCUUGGAGGUGACAACUAGGAGGUGGUGAGGACCUUCUGUGGGGCAGGAGAAGAGCAGACAAGGGCUCCCCCAUCACCUGUCCUCUGUAGGAAGUGGUCUGGCCACCCCUCUCCAUGCCCCACCGUGAACACUGCUGGACUGCUGGGUGUGACCCCGAGGGUGGGCUGGGGGCCUCCUGACCCCUAUUGUACAGUGAGUCUGGAUGUGUAGGUGGGGAGCGAGCAAAAGAAGGUACCCUUUCCUCACUAGGUAAUAGCCAUGUGACCCACAGCUGAUUGGAACAUGGAGACUGAGGGUUAGGGAUGGGAAGGAAACUCCCCUGAAUUCUUUUUGGCAGAGUGGUGGGGCUGGGGACUAAAUGCCAUCUUUCUCAUAGUUUUCUAGCGUCCACCUUCCAUCCUCUUUUCUUCCUCUGACCUUCCUUCUAAAAAAAAACAGUGCUGC
Molecule: long non-coding RNA, 1027 nt
Filed under: Homo sapiens (human)
Lineage: Eukaryota; Metazoa; Chordata; Mammalia; Primates; Hominidae
Description: long non-coding RNA NONHSAT238296
Source: RNAcentral